Molecule: long non-coding RNA, 418 nt
Organism: Odocoileus virginianus texanus
Lineage: Eukaryota; Metazoa; Chordata; Mammalia; Artiodactyla; Cervidae
Source: RefSeq, a predicted model, not a curated record
UCUAACUUGUCUGAAGCUUAGAGCUCCUUCCUCAGAGUUGAGUUUUGGUAACCAACAAAGGGAUCCAGAACAGACUUCUCUCCCUCACUUGAACUCUACAAGGAACGGGAGCUUUGGUAUCAGCAGAAGCCCCCUUGACCCUGUUUGCCCUUCCUCAAGAAGUCCAGAUGAGUUAAGAUGUUUUUAUGAAGAUCCUAAAGAAGAUUCAUAAAAAGGACUAUUGGACAAACAAGUUUCUGAUGACUUUUAGAUCAUACUACUAAAAGGGAAAGCCUUUCCUCUUAUGUUGACCUGCAACAAGUUGGUAAUUGUUAUCUUCAUUUACAAAAGGUGUGAUUUAUCUCUACUUGAUCCCUUCAGAAUUUUUCUUCUCCAGCUGCCUCCCCUGUAGACUUGAUGACUUAUUGUGACCAGCUUA